Long non-coding RNA from Leptopilina boulardi, 1656 nucleotides. RefSeq lists it as uncharacterized. The record is from RefSeq and is a predicted model, not a curated record. Lineage: Eukaryota; Metazoa; Arthropoda; Insecta; Hymenoptera; Figitidae. The transcript is spliced from 2 exons.
UUUUGGUUCUAAAGUUUGAUAAACACUGCAAUUUUUUCAGUUCAGAAAAAUGUUCAAAUUUGUAAAAAAAUAAUUAUUUAGUAAAAGAUUUUCAUUGAAAAUAAUUUUUUCCAAAAAGUGCAUAUAACUAGAUCUUUCAAAAUUACUUUCAAUUAAUUUUAAAUAAUUUUUUGUUUAUGUUAAUAGCCAUUUUCACCACCCUCCAUAAAAAAUGCAACCUAAAAUAUUUUUUCCAGCUUGACUCAAAUCGAAAAGUUACUUAUGUUUCAUGUACAUCCUAAUAUAGUUUAUAAAUUUGGUCGACGUAGUAUAUCACAAAUAGAUUUAAUCGUCAGAAACAAUUAAAUGUCAUUUUUUUCUAAUGUAAACAUUUGACAACAAGUAUCCAACGAAAAAUGCGCCACAUUGCCACUAGAGGCGGCACCGUGUUAAAUGUUGUACUUUCAUUUAUGCACAAGAAAUUGAAAAUUCAUUACGAUAAACGACGUCAGGAAGUAAAAUAAGAAAUUUUUUUCUAACCGUCAGGUGCUGUCCAAGACGGUAAAUUUCAGUACUACGAAAAUAUUUAAAUACUCUUCCUAUUUUACUUCCUGUCGUUUUAUAUGUGAAUAAAUUUUUAAUUUCUUGGAGGCAAAUGAAAGUACACAAAUUCAGGAUAACUGGUAUUUUUUCCGAUUUUCACAUUUUCUUUCCGAAUUGGGAGAAUAAUAUUUUUCAAAUUAAAUGUACCUUAUUUUUAAGACAACCACUGCUUAUGCCAUUGCGGAACACCGUUAAUCUGAAUGACACCCAGAAGAGAGGGCGCUGUUUAGCGACGCUUUCGGGCUUGACUUGUCAGCCAUUUUACUCUCAUUCUCAUCCUGGUAUCAGUUCAGAGUGGUUGUGUUUUUCCCCAUUCUUUCUUUUCGUUCAAAAACUAAAUUUAAAAAUGUAAAAAUUAAUAAAUUGUGCGACUAGGUGUCAUCGUCCACGCGUCACAUGGGCGGUGAGUCUCCAAUUUAAUUAUAGAUGAGUCGUCCUCCUUCCGAGUCUAUCUCAUUAUUUAUUAAAAACUAAAUAAAGAAUUGAAUAGUAAAUUUCGAAAAAGGCUCAACUGGAAAAAGCGUAAGCGUCAUUUUCGCAUAACAGUCGAUAGUGAAAAUGACUUACGGUUUUCGCAGAGUUGAGUCCUUUUCGAAAUUUAGGAUUCAGAUAUAAAUCUUGUUUAAUGGGCCUUCUGCCACUUUUAUAAAAUUAAACUUUUCUAAAUUCCUGAGCUGGUUUAGUUUUUCCUAAUUAAAUUAAUAUAAUUCGACGCCUCCCGUUCAUAUAAUGCUUAUUGAAAUAACAAAACAAGACGAUGCUUAUUUAGAAUUGGGUGCAAUAUCAUUCCCAUCAAAAUUACAGUGCAAGACAAUGCCUAUUCAAAAUCGCGUGCAAAACAAUUCCUACUGAAGGUAGCGAAUAAUAUGAUGCUUAUUCAAAUUUAAGUGCAAGAUAAUUCUUAAUUAAAAUUUUCUAAAAAAGUAUUCUUAUUUAAUGUGGUUUCUAAGAAGAGGUUACUGGUGAACAUGGGAGGGUCACGGUGGUUCAGGAAUCCAUAUGAAAAAAUUUGAUCACCUUCCGACAAAUCUACAUUGAAAAUGUUGAAAAUAAAAUUAUUUUUUACAAACAUUA